Molecule: ribosomal RNA, 381 nt
Filed under: uncultured archaeon
Lineage: Archaea
Description: bacterial SSU rRNA
Rfam family: Archaeal small subunit ribosomal RNA
Source: RNAcentral
UAACACCGGCAGCCCAAGUGGUAGCCACGUUUAUUGGGUCUAAAGCGUUCGUAGCCGGCUUGGUAAGUUCCUUGGUAAAUUUAGCCGCUUAACGGUUAAGCUUUCAGGGAAUACUGCUUGGCUUGGGACUGGGAGAGGUCAGAGGUACUCCAGGGGUAGGGGUGAAAUCCAUUAAUCCUUGGGGGACCACCGGUAGCGAAGGCGUCUGACCAGACCAGCUCCGACGGUGAGGGACGAAGGCUAGGGGCGCGAACCGGAUUAGAUACCCGGGUAGUCCUAGCUGUAAACGAUGCGGGCUAGGUGUUGGCGUUACUGCGAGUGGUGCCAGUGCCGAAGGGAAGCCGUUAAGCUCGCCAUCUGGGGAGUACGGUCGCAAGGCUU